This 503-nucleotide ribosomal RNA is filed under the name uncultured bacterium. RNAcentral's name for it is "bacterial SSU rRNA". It matches the Rfam family "Bacterial small subunit ribosomal RNA", at positions 28 to 521 of the family's 1533-position model. The record is from RNAcentral.
GAUGAACGCUAGCGAUAGGCCUAACACAUGCAAGUCGAGGGGCAUCACAUGAAGUAGCAAUACGGAUGGUGGCGACCGGCGCACGGGUGAGUAACACGUAUGCAACCUGCCUUCAACAAGGGGAUAACCCGUUGAAAGACGGACUAAUACCCUAUAACACAGGGGUCCCGCAUGGGGAUAUUUGUUAAAGGACAACCGGUUGAAGAUGGGCAUGCGUUCCAUUAGCUAGUUGGCGGGGUAAGGGCCCACCAAGGCAACGAUGGAUAGGGGAACUGAGAGGUUUAUCCCCCACACUGGUACUGAGACACGGACCAGACUCCUACGGGAGGCAGCAGUGAGGAAUAUUGGUCAAUGGACGCAAGUCUGAACCAGCCACGUCGCGUGAAGGAAGACGGCCCUACGGGUUGUAAACUUCUUUUAUACGGGAAUAAAGUGCCCCACGCGUGGGGUUUGCAUGUACCGUAUGAAUAAGGAUCGGCUAACUCCGUGCCAGCAGCCGCGGU